UGGGUUUCCCUUCUCAUCGAAGAAGGUUGCCAUGCUGAGUGUUGCCCUCCUCUGUUCGUGAAAGGAUUUUGUCGAUGGCAAAAAAUAGAGUGCAUAGGGCAUUAUUCGCGGGGCUUUAGGGCCCCACAAGUAUUUUUAAAAAAAAAACUAUGUGGACCUGAUGUAUUUGUGAGGCCUGGCAGAGUGUAAACCUAGUAGGGUUCAAAAAUAGAUGCAAAAGGUACAAUUUAAUUUAUUUUAGCCCUUGUUUGAGCAAUAUUCAUUCUAUAAAAAUAUAUUUUUAAAGAGUGAUUUGAUAUCAUUUCAAUCAUACAUUUUUUAAUAAAAUAAUGUUAUAUGUAAAUUAAAAUUUUUUCUUUAUUUUUUAACCACAUAUUUUUUAUCAAUACACUAUUUCAAAAUUUAUUUUUCCUUAAAAUAAGGCACUUAAUCACACAAGAAAAAGCAUGUUUCAUUUUUUAAUAAUAAAUUUGUGGCCAGUAAUGAGAAAACGUCAUUACUAUCAAUGAUCCAAAGUCAACGAGGAUAUAAUAUAAUUAUUCAAUACAUAUUUUAUUUUAUUUAAUUUUUGUCUGGCGAAGGGGCCUGUCGACCUCGUAAUUUCUAAUAUUAUAUUAACUGUUAAAUAAUAAGAUUAAUUUAUCUGUCAAUCUUUAUCUCACCCACUAAUCCUCUAUUGGCUCUGAAUCAGACUAGCACCGGAGAGCCAACAAUGUUAUACCCCACACGAAAAGACCUAAAAAUGUUGUCCUACGGAAAUUUAUGUCACUAAAUUCCUAACCAAGUGACUCACCACGCAGAAAUCUGAUUAGCAUGAAACCAAUCAUUUCUACUCUCUCUCUCUCUCUCUUUUUUUUUUUUUUUUUGUCUCGUACUAAUAUAUAUAUAUAUAUUUUGUCUUAAUUUUUCAACAUAUCUAAUUACCUUGAAAUCUCUUUACUCUUGUGUCUACAAAACUAUUUAGCCCCCGUUUGUUUCUCUUUUUUGGAAGAAUGAGAAUGAAAAAUAUAGUCGCUACGAGUCUUACACAAGAGGUAAAAAUUCAAAUUUAGUGGUUUGAUGUGAUGGAUAAUGGUCAUAUUUUUUAUUUUAAUGAGAAAAGAAUGAGAACCAAACAGGAAUUUAAUUUAGAAUGGAAUUAUUUCUUAUAAACUAAAAGUAGAUUAUUUUGUCUGUUUUACUUAUUUAUUUAUUGGAUUAGGAAGGAGAGAAGCAUUCACCGCUGAGCCAAGAAAUACUUUUGAAAUUCCACAUCAGAAAAUUUCUGUGUAAGAGAUUGGUAACGUACGAAGUGUUUUGCUAUUUGUAUAUCGAAGCUUGAUAACUCGGUGUACAGCCUUAUCAAUCCGUAGCAAAGCCCACAUAGGAAUUCUUGGUUCCAAAUAAUAUCAUCAUGGGUCCCACAAUUGUGCAAGUAGAAUCAGAGCAAAGAAUUAUGCUCUUCUUAUAUGCGAAUAUCCUCUCUUCCUCGAAA
RNAcentral lists this long non-coding RNA (1474 nucleotides) under Olea europaea subsp. europaea. Lineage: Eukaryota; Viridiplantae; Streptophyta; Magnoliopsida; Lamiales; Oleaceae. The record is from RNAcentral.